This 481-nucleotide ribosomal RNA is filed under the name uncultured bacterium. RNAcentral describes it as "bacterial SSU rRNA". It matches the Rfam family "Bacterial small subunit ribosomal RNA", at positions 28 to 507 of the family's 1533-position model. The record is from RNAcentral.
GAUGAACGCUAGCGGCAGGCCUUAACACAUGCAAGUCGAGGGGUAGAAUUAGCUUGCUAAUUUGAGACCGGCGCACGGGUGCGUAACGCGUAUGCAAUCUACCUUGUACAGGGGGAUAGCCCAGAGAAAUUUGAUUAAUACUCCAUGGUAUAAUUGAAUCGCAUGGUUUGAUUAUUAAAGUUCCAACGGUACAAGAUGAGCAUGCGUCCCAUUAGCUAGUUGGUGUGGUAACGGCAUACCAAGGCGACGAUGGGUAGGGGUCCUGAGAGGGAGAUCCCCCCACACUGGUACUGAGACACGGACCAGACUCCUACGGGAGGCAGCAGUGAGGAAUAUUGGUCAAUGGUCGGAAGACUGAACCAGCCAUGCCGCGUGCAGGAAGACGGUCCUAUGGAUUGUAAACUGCUUUUGUACGGGAAGAAACACUCCUUCGUGAAGGAGCUUGACGGUACCGUAAGAAUAAGGAUCGGCUAACUCCGUG